Molecule: ribosomal RNA, 163 nt
Filed under: Neonauclea clemensiae
Lineage: Eukaryota; Viridiplantae; Streptophyta; Magnoliopsida; Gentianales; Rubiaceae
Also listed under: 5 other names
Description: 5.8S ribosomal RNA
Rfam family: 5.8S ribosomal RNA
About the family: 5.8S ribosomal RNA (5.8S rRNA) is a component of the large subunit of the eukaryotic ribosome. It is transcribed by RNA polymerase I as part of the 45S precursor that also contains 18S and 28S rRNA.
Source: RNAcentral
CAAACGACUCUCGGCAACGGAUAUCUCGGCUCUCGCAUCGAUGAAGAACGUAGCGAAAUGCGAUACUUGGUGUGAAUUGCAGAAUCCCGUGAACCAUCGAGUCUUUGAACGCAAGUUGCGCCCGAAGCCGUCAGGCCAAGGGCACGUCUGCCUGGGCGUCACG